This 500-nucleotide ribosomal RNA is filed under the name uncultured bacterium. RNAcentral describes it as "partial 16S ribosomal RNA". It matches the Rfam family "Bacterial small subunit ribosomal RNA", at positions 28 to 507 of the family's 1533-position model. The record is from RNAcentral.
GACGAACGCUGGCGGCGUGCUUAACACAUGCAAGUCGAACGGAAAGGCCUGCUUUCCCUUGUGGAUUGCGGGUACUCGAGUGGCGAACGGGUGAGUAACACGUGAGUGAUCUGCCCUCACCUUGGGUAUAAGCCUGGGAUACUGGGUCUAAUUCCCGAUAGGACUGCAGGGUGGUGCCUGCGGUGGAAAACGAUUUUCUCGUGGUUGGGGUUGAGCUCGGGGCCUAUCAGCGUGUUGGUGGGGUAAAGGCCUACGAAGGCGACGACGGGUAGCUGGUCUGAGGGGUUGAUCAGUCACACGGGAAAUGAGAGAGGGUCAAGACUGUGAAGGGAGGAAGCAGUGGGGAAUAUUGGGGAAUGGGCGAAAGCGGGAUCCAGCAAUGCAGCGGGUGUGAAGAAGGUCUUCGGAGUGGAAAAAACUGUAAGUUGGGAGGAAGGGCAGUAAGUUAAUAAUUUGCUGUUGUGACGUUACCAGCAGAAGAAGCAACGGCUAACUUCGUG